CCUACGGGUGGCAGCAGUGAGGAAUAUUGGUCAAUGGACGAGAGUCUGAACCAGCCAAGUAGCGUGAAGGAUGACGGCCCUAUGGGUUGUAAACUUCUUUUAUAUGGGAGUAAACUGUUCCACGUGUGGGAUUUUGUAUGUACCAUAUGAAUAAGGAUCGGCUAACUCCGUGCCAGCAGCCGCGGUAAUACGGAGGAUCCGAGCGUUAUCCGGAUUUAUUGGGUUUAAAGGGAGCGUAGGUGGAUGGUUAAGUCAGUUGUGAAAGUUUGGGGCUCAACCGCGAAAUUGCAGUUGAAACUGGCAGGCUUGAGUGCAGUAGAGGUGGGCGGAAUGCGUGGUGUAGCGGUGAAAUGCUUAGAGAUCACGAAGAACGCCGAUUGCGAAGGCAGCUCACUGGGCUGCAACUGACGCUGAGGCUCGAAAGUGUGGGGAGCAAACAGGAUUAGAUACCCGGGUAGUC
This 460-nucleotide ribosomal RNA is filed under the name uncultured bacterium. Its description in RNAcentral is "partial 16S ribosomal RNA". It matches the Rfam family "Bacterial small subunit ribosomal RNA", at positions 338 to 795 of the family's 1533-position model. The record is from RNAcentral.